Molecule: ribosomal RNA, 700 nt
Filed under: uncultured Arcicella sp.
Lineage: Bacteria; Pseudomonadati; Bacteroidota; Cytophagia; Cytophagales; Flectobacillaceae
Description: bacterial SSU rRNA
Rfam family: Bacterial small subunit ribosomal RNA
Source: RNAcentral
GAUGAACGCUAGCGGCAGGCCUAAUACAUGCAAGUCGAACGGUGUCUUCGGACAUAGUGGCGCACGGGUGCGUAACACGUAUGCAACCUACCUUACAUUGGGGGAUAGCCUUUCGAAAGGGAGAUUAAUACCGCAUAAGACAGUAGCUGGGCAUCCAGCAGCUGUUAAAGAUUUAUCGAUGUAAGCUGGGCAUGCGUCCAAUUAGCUAGUUGGUGAGGUAAUGGCUCACCAAGGCAAUGAUUGGUAGGGGAACUGAGAGGUCAAUCCCCCACACUGGCACUGAGAUACGGGCCAGACUCCUACGGGAGGCAGCAGUAGGGAAUAUUGGGCAAUGGACGCAAGUCUGACCCAGCCAUGCCGCGUGCAGGAUGAAGGCGUUAUGCGUUGUAAACUGCUUUUAUACAGGAAGAAACGACUCUUGCGAGAGGCAUUGACGGUACUGUAUGAAUAAGCACCGGCUAACUCCGUGCCAGCAGCCGCGGUAAUACGGAGGGUGCAAGCGUUGUCCGGAUUUAUUGGGUUUAAAGGGUGCGCAGGUGGUUUAUUAAGUCAGUGGUGAAAGACGGUCGCUCAACGAUUGCAGUGCCAUUGAAACUGGUAGACUUGAGUAAAGUAGAGGUGGGCGGAAUUGAUAGUGUAGCGGUGAAAUGCAUAGAUAUUAUCAAGAACUCCAAUUGCGUAGGCAGCUCACUUGGCUUUU